GAGGCCGUGACGUCAUCUGGGGAGGUGGAAGCGCAAAAUGGCCGUGAGGCGAUUGUCGAGUCGUGAGGGGCCGAAGAGAUUUUGAGCCCAGUCGUCAACCCGGCAUUGCCACUGUAACCUCUAAACUCCUAAACCACUAAAUUACAUCGCUCAGCGCAAAAUCCAGGCGCCUCUUGAACACCUCCAGGGAUGGUAACUCCACCACCUCCCUCGGCAGCCCACUCCAAUGUCUGACCACCAGACCAGUGAAAAAACUUUUUGUUCUAAUAUCUAAUCCCAAUCUCCCCUGUCUCAUCUUGAAGUCAUUUUCUGAGGUCCUCUCACUGCAGACAGGGUAGAAGAGGCCGGACUCCAACUAGUUGGAGAGAGAGAGAUAAGGUCCUCCCUGAGCUUCCUCCAGGCUAAACUUAGCCCAGGUCCUUCAGCCGCUCCUCAUAGGCGCGUGGGGAAAAGACGAUUUUUGGGGCUGCUGUGCUGCCAGCACGUCCCUUUUAGUAGGCCUUUUGUGUUGAAUGUUACUACAAAACACAACUUUUUCUUUUUUCUUUUUGCUACUAAACCAGGACUGAUUCAGGAUGAUGGCAUACACUUUCUUCCUCCCUUUAUGUAUGAUUUGACAGAUCAACAUGUGAUUGUUUUCAGUGCUGGGCCUGGCCAAAUGUGGUUGUGUGGUGGCAGUGAAUGGCCUGAAAAGUCUUGAAAAGGGCUCCAAGGUUGUGGAUUUCCUGACCUGUGCAGCAGAUGUCUCUGCCCAGGGAAAGGUUCCCUCAGGGAAACUGCCAGAGCUGCUGGUCGUCCUUGUUCUCCCAAACACCCUCUGCUAAGGCUGGUCUCCCUCAGCUAUAACGUCUAUAUAUGCUAUUAUUACAUAAUUCUUUUAUAUAUAUUUAUGUGUGUGUAUGUAUGUAUUUUUGUAAAGCUGUGCUGCUGGAGCCCUUGCUGCUCAAGCUUCCUCGUGUGACUUCUGCUUUCUGCAAAAGGGGAAAAAAAAAAAUCCAUGCAGGGAGAAAGCUCUGUGCAAGGAGGCCUUUGGAAGCGUGGCUUUGAGAGGUGCCUGCUCUCCCUGUGUUCUGGCUGUUAUUUUCCUCAGGUUUUUAAUGUUAUAUUGCAAGAGUCUAUCCAGGCUUGAAGCUGCUUGGUAAAGAGUCACAGAGUAUUUAGUGUUUGUUGGAAGGGACCUCUGGAGAUCGUCUAGUCCAACCCCCAUAUUUAACAGAUUCUUAGAGUAUGGUGUUUCAGUACUGUUAAUCGUUAAUUAUGCAAAACUAAAGGAAUUGUGCAGUGAUGAGAUAAUCCUUAAAAGUGUAUGCAUGUAUCUUUGUGGUUUCAUGCCAGCUUUGUACCCUGCAUAGUCUACAAAAUAAAAUGACUGAGCUGAAUGCAAACUCAGAUGAAAGAUGUAGUCUCAGUAACCCCUUUGAGACAAGAUUUAGGGCACUGCAACUGCUUGCAUAAGUAAGGCUGACCCUCGGGGAGUGAUCUCUAUAUAUUGUGAAGUUUUAAGUAGGCCAGAUGACACCUUUAAAAACCUCUGUAAAGGGUAAGAUAAAAUAGGUAAUAAAGAGGGUGUGAUUUCACAUUUCCUUUGCUGUUUUUGCCUUUCUGUCCUCUCUUUGAUAAAUGGGUUUAUUUUGGAGCACCAUGACACAGCGCAUAACACUGUAACAAAUUAGGUGGUGCUGUGAAAAUAAUAAUUAUGUAUUGUUGUGUUAAUACUGCCAAAGAGAAGACUCGGUACCAUGUUGAUGUUGUUUUUCAGGCGUUUGUUACUUGGCUCACAAUAGCUAGACACUUUGCCAGGGAAAUGCAAAUUAAUUCUGCCAAGUUCAAGGUGAAUGGUGAGCUAAUUCGUGGGGGAAGGGAAGACUGGAUUAAUGCUUUAAAACCAGGCUAAUUUUUUAGGACCGUAGCUGAGAGCCUGAGCUUUCCAGUCUAAAAUGGUAAUUUCCUCUCCCUUCAGCUCCUUCUGGAAAAGGUACUGCCUCUUCACUAUUUUUGGGAGCCUAAGCUGAUCAAAGAUUAGCAAAGGUUACCUUAAGAGUUCAUAGAGAAACCUGGAAUCUUGAAAUUAAAUGCACAAAUGCUAAGAGGAAUGGGAAUCUCCCAUAGGGAAGCCUGCUUAGGGACCUAAAUAAAUGAAGGGUGACUGUGCAGUUCAAGAACACAUCAAAAAGUUGUUCUGUUCUAGAAGACUGAAGCAAAGCAGAACAAUAACUGUGCAGUUCUUAGAAACUGUUAAUGACUGACGAAUGUUCUGUUGCCAAACUGAUAUGCAGCAAGGGGGAAGCUUGAACAGGAAGAACCAAGAGUGGAUCAGGGAGAUGGCACAGAAAAGUCUGGCAAAAGCAACUAAAUAAAGGUGGUGGUGAUAAGUGAAACUGAAUAGUGGCAAUUUGCACCAGAAGAAAACAAAACAAGCACUAGAACAUAAGUGUAAGCUUUGAGUUAAUAACAAAUCAGCAAAACAGGCUGGUGAGAACCUGAGCCUGGCCACAGUGGGAGGUUAUAUAUCAGAAUAUGAUCUAGUCCAGGGAAGGAAUUUUCUGCCUGUUUUUAUUAACAGAUACAGAUGGUUAGGAUGUCUCUUCUUUUGAGGGGAAAAAACCCUAAUUGAUAGGAUGUCUAGGAAUAAAAUACUCCCAGAUUUCACUCAAAGUUAGCAUUAAAACUGACUGGCCUCUAGCCAAAAAAUAAUAACUUGAGAUCUCCAAAAGAAAAAGGAAUUCUUAUGUAAAACAGUCCUGCUCCUUGCAUCUCUGUCAUUGCAGCUGUAUCUAGCAGAUGCAAAUCUGGAGUAAAAUCAGCUAAAUUAAAUUGAAGGAGGCUAGAAUUUCUAUUGCAUAAUGUAAUGAGACUAAAAUAAACAGAAAUAAGGAACAUAAUACCUUAUUUGUUACCUUUUUAAGUUCCAAGUAGAGAGAGCCAAGAACUUAGGAAAAUACAAUAUUAAUCUUGUAAUGCAGUUAUGUCACUGAUAAUAGUUUUGAACCUCUAGAUGCAGUACAAAGAAGAACUACUGCAGUUUUAAUUCCCUUUUCUUUUGUUUGAAUCUGUCCAAGUUGCUUUUUUUUUAUAUCUAACUUCUAAAAGAAGUUAAAAAUGAAGCAUGGCAUUUAUUAGUGUGUAGGUGAGAGUCUGUAGAAAACCAUGACUUGCAUUCAACACUUUGCAUUAUGUUACCUAUAUUUCUGACUUUUUUUGCAAAUAUUGAUGUGAUUUUUUUUAGAGUAAGUUUCAGACAAUGCUUUGUAUUUUCUGCUGUUAGUAAAGCUCAUAAUUGCAGCAUAAUUGCAGCCAUUCAAACUAGGAUCAUAGCAUCAUGGAAUCAUUUGGAUUGGAAGGGACCUUUAAGGGCCACUUAGUCCAGCCAUGGGCCAUCUAUGUCCACUGUAAGCAGGGACGUCUUCAACUAGACCAGGUUGUUCAGGGCCUGGUCCAAUCUGACUUUGAGUAUUCCCAGGGAUGGGCCCUCCACCACCCCUCUGGGCCACCUACUCCAGGGUUUUACCAUCCUCACUGUAAAAAACAUCUGUGUCUCCAUGUAAAUGGAAACUGAUUAAGCUACAGGUAAAUAUGUUAACUCUGUACCUGUUUGGGAUCUUCAGUGUUACUAACCAUUAUGAUGUGGCUUGCACAGUGCUUGACCUAAUGCCUGGAAAAACAGUUUCUGUGCUCCUGCUUAUGUGUCUGGACUCUAGCUCAUUUCACAGCAUGCUUCUUUGAAAGUGCUGUUUGUGAUGCAGUAACUGUCUCAAAGUUUUGAGGGUUUUUUAAUACAGCAUGUGUCUUUGAUGUCCUGAGCAUAUCCUUCUUUGUCUUGCCUUGCACUAGUCUUCAUAUUAACAAUCCUGACUCACAAACCUUGCUGGAUGCAAUUUGUAAGAAGCAUUCCCCUCUCUGUUAACCCAGGGUUAGAGCUGCCACCUAAUUAAAUAAUCUUCUGUCCUGACCCUUAACAGGCUGUAAGCAGCUUUUCCCAGCAAGGCAGGUAAACUCUUGGGACAGUGCAAUAAAGCUUGAAAAUACGCUAUUUUUAAGCAUGUUUGUGUGUUCAUAUGUGCUCUAGUAGUGUUUUAUAAAAAUCAAUAAACUCUUAUUCUUCUGUAAUUCUGUAGAAGGAAGAAAGGAAAGCAACCUUUUAUGAACUGGCUUGGAGAGAAAGUGCUUUCAGUUACAGCAGGCAAGGGAGGCUGUACUUUAUCAGCAAAAGAGGAAGCCUUUUCAGAUAGAAAUGAAAACUGUCCUUUCUCAGCAUGUUUGAAUUGCCCUGUUAGUGCAGUUGAAAGAAAUCAAAGGGAAUCUGUCCUUAUUUUCUCACGUAUCUGUGAGACCAUGUAUAAAUUGCCAAGACUUGGGAGGAAAGGGAGAUGAUACUUUUCAGAUCCAUUAAGGCACAGCUGAAAAAACUGAUCUAAUGAAAGACCAGAAGAAUGAUGUGGGCCACAGGAGCCUUGUGAAGCUGUAAAUAAUAGGGUGAAUUUUAGUUAACCAUUGGUUUAUUUUGCGUCACUGUGGGAUGCUGGAUUUCAAACUGCUAGAAGAGGUACAGAUGUACAGUUGUCUCUUGCAUAUGUGCAUUUACUGAAACAGUGUUUGUAAAUGCUUCUGAUCUGUGGAUCUUGGUGCCCAAGGUGCUGUGAAUUAAAUGAUUGUAGGAUUAUUUCUUUUCAGCUCUUGUUGGUCAUUAACAGCCCCUAAAGACUUGAAGCCACAAACUGAAAAUCCUUACAAGAAACCUUUUGGGUUUUUCUUAACUGCAUUAUGAAGAGAGGCCUUCUGAUUUCCUAAACUUACUGCCAGUUCUGACUAGGAUAAACUGGGGAUAAAAAUGCUUUCUUUGUCUUUGUCAUUGUGCCUAUAAUAAUCACAUUACCAGAUAGCUCUCUGCAGAACAAUACGGAAACAAUUUGCAAGAAAGCUUGAGACUAGGAGGUUGUAUUUUUCUUGAGACUCUGCAGUUAGCAUAAUACUUUCAUGUAGAGAUCUUGUUUGCCUAGCAGUUUUUAAGAAUUCCUGAUGGCAUCCAGCUGUAGCUGGGGUUGGUAUAAUUGGCUGCUUUUUUUCUGAAGACAUUUCUUCUGGGGAGCUGUUACGGGUUGACUGCUCAAAGACCUUGCAACAAAUGGAGGCAAGUGCUGGAGUACAGUGUUUGAUUUUUUUUUUUUUUUUUUUUUCCCACUUAUGUGCUUGUUUACCACCUUUGCAAAGGCUUAUUUAUUUUGCUUAAUUCUGCUAGAGAUACACAUGUAUCACUCUGACUGGCAAAGUUCUUAUCUUCCUGCAGUAGCUGAUAAGGCUGUAGAGACUGGCCUGCACGGGUUGUUAAUGAGCUAUUAAUGUAUGUAACUCCAAUAUUGUAGAAACAAUCUCUUCAAUUACUGUUUUAUCACUGGUCAUGUAUUGGCUGACUGGUUCAGGUUUGGGCCAGUGCAAAUGUUGAAAGUGAUGACUCAGGCAGCAAACUAGACUAAUGACUUAAUGGCAAAACAACAAUCUAAACUAAAACUAUGCCAAAAGGUUUUUAUUUGUUCAUUGUCUUUCUUGUAGCAGAGAAAAAAGGAGGGAAUUACUUGGUUGCUGAUCCUCUAACAGUUUGAGUUGGGGACAAAUUUUGAAUACCAGUUAGUAACCUGACUGUUUCAAAACAAAUCAGAAUACAUGUUGUUCUGUGGAGUACCUUUUAACAUAUCAGUAUGUGUUGUGGGGAGUUAAUUAGUGCAAGGUUCUGUGUCUAUUAACCUCUUUUUGUUGUCAUGGAGGGGAAAAACAAUUGCAUUAAGAAAUGCUGUCUGUGGUGUGAUAUGUUAAAUUGCAUCUAGGUUAGUUGUACAUUUUUCUACAGCUUUUACUGCUAUGAUCUCUGUGCUCAUGUAAUCUGUUUUCAUUUGCAGUGCAGUCAGCAGUAUGAAAAAUUAAGUAGCAUGUUAGAGCUUUCAAGGAAAACAUGAUGCAGCAUGAUCACGUAUAUUAAUGUAAACGUUCAGAGCCCUUUAGCUGAAGCAAUGAAACCACACUGAGGGAGUCACUGGUAUGUGGAAUUCUCUCCUCAGAGCUGCUGUUCUGUGCAGAGACUCUUGGGAGUGCAGAUUGAGGACUGUGUGGUUUGUCAUUGAGGGAGUAUAACCCCAUUCGCCAUUUAGAUAUGUUUGCCACAGGAUGGGAUUUUUUUCUUUCCCAGAGAAUUCAGAAGGUGGUAUCAUUUUCUCAAGGUGCAAAGCACCUGGUCUAUCAGCCAUGCCUGUUGUCAGUGUUUGGAUCAACACUGGAUACCGACUUUUUCUUAUCAUGGUAGUAUUCAGGUAUUUUGCACCUGCAGCACAGGACUAGAAAAUCACCUCAGCUCUUUAGUGGUGGGUGGAAGUUUCAGUGGAAAGUGAAAUUACACUCAAGAUGCUGGGUGGGGACUCUGUGUUUUGUUCACAUAAAACAGCUUCCAGAAUCCCAAGCGUUUAGACUUCCUAGGUUUUAUGCUUGGUCUUUGCACUUGUAGCAUAGUAUGGUUACCCAAGGAGUCAUAAAUAGGUUUAGCUUCCUGUGAUCCUCUUCCUCCUUAGAGGUAGAUGACAGACUGCAACUUUUUUGCAGUGUGUGUCACUAAAGCUACUGGGAGCUCUUGCUUUGCACUGAAGUUAAAGAAUCUAUUACAGGAAUUAAAAAUUGGCUGGACUUGCUGUUGAUCUCUGUUAAUCCGAAGAUUUUGAGUGAUUUAAGUCUUUGGACUUCAUCUUGCAGAAGACUGACUAAUUAAAAGGGGCACUUGCCAGGGAUGGUGUGCAGCUUAUUACACUGGUACAAGUGUUAAGUCAUGGUGCUUUUGCCUCCUACUUAUAUGGCAAAGUACCAUCAAGUUUCUGGUGUGGAACUGAUUUAUAACUUCAGUAGAUUUAAUAUCAUCUUCUGAUCCAUCAUGCUGUUCCUGAACUCUCCCUCAAGAAAAAAGUAGAAAUUUUCCUUUUCUGAAAGGACCUGCAAUGUUUCCAGAGGAGAUUUCAAAAAUCAGAAUAAAGACACUUUCUCUUAUUUUCCUAUCAAAAUUCCUGCUGAUUCUGUCUCCCUGCAGACAAAAUGUAGUAUGCAUAAUGACAGUGAGGUUCCUAAGUAAAUACCAUGAAAUUUUGUGUAUCUUAGUCAUACAGUGCUAUUUUUCUUUCCUCUGUCAAUAGGGAAGAAUACUGCUCUCUGAAAAUUGUGUUUUUUUUUUUUUUUUUUUUUUUUUUUUUUUUUUGCAGCCUGCUUUGCACACUGAAAAUAGUUCAGAUUUUGUACUGUAAAGCACCACCACUAGAAUUUUGCUGAAGCCCAAACAAUUUUCCACUGGAUGAUAAUAUCCUUAAAUUUAUUGUCCCUAGUUUAUGCAGCAUGUGUUUUACAAGAGAUACUCCAGGCUGUCCUCAAUGUGAAAUCUAGUUUCAAAAAACCCACUUCUGUAGGCCUUGUCUGUGGCAGGAACAAUAAGGCCAGUAAUGAUUCUAAUGCUUUUCAGCUGGUGGGGAAUGCAACAGAACAUUUUGUGACUUUGGAUCAUGUGUUUAUGCAUAAAUAACCAAAAAGAGGCUUAAGAGAACAGUAUCAGAAAAAAAAUAGUGCCAAUUAUUAGUUAUCAGGGUAGUACUAAUGAGAUGAGACUGCGUUGAAAAAAAUUUUAUAGUCUUGUAAAGAACUUCAACUUUGUCUUUUUCCAUUCAGUUGAAGUUGUCAUAUGACCCUUUCUGCAGAUUUAGGAACAGCUGGUAAAUUUGCAGAGGAGAGUUAAUGCCCAGGGAAGUAAGGUAUGCACUUGCACCGCACAAUGCCAUGAGAGCUUUGUGCUGCAUGUAAAUCUCGGUAUUAAAAAAAUAUGGAAACUUGUUCAAUGUUGCAGUAAGCAUGUUACUAAUGCUAUGACUGCAUGGGUUAAAACUGACAAAGAUUUACUGACGUGUAUCCAGUUCUGUUGAAUCUGCUGGGACCCAGUAUUACCGGGGUAAGUGCAGCCUGUGGAGUUGCAGUCAGUGUCUUUUUCCUGUUAUAGCUCACAUCAAUUUUGGACUAGAAGAAACAACACUAUAGUGGCUUUUUGGUCAACAUAAUUUGCAGUUUUCUAGCUGACUUAUGCUCACAGGAGUAUUUUGCUACCUUCCCAGAGCUAAAUGUGUAGGAUGUGUCUGGGAAAUGUUUAUGUUAUGUCCCUCUUGCAAAUAGAAACCAUUCUGAGCACCACCCUCAUGGCACAGUGAGGCAACAUGCUACUUCCUGAUUCUGACAUCCGUAGCAAAGAAUAAACACAGGUUAUCAAUACUCUCUUGUCCUGCUGCAUAUGACCUCUCCAGCUCUAGCAGUACUUAAACUCAGGAGCAAGCAGCUGAAAGCUUUCAUUCUCUGCAUCCUGUAAUCAUACUCAGGGAUGGAAGGGACUAAUUAAUGCCUGAAUACCAGGGAAUACAUACCCAGUCUGAUCAAAUGCAGCAGCAGUUAGCACUGGAUUUAGCUUAAGGUCAGGGAAGAGAGAAGGGAUGCUGUUAGGGUGAAGGAGUAGUCUGUAAUCUUCUUGGUAGUGAAACCCAAUCUCCCUCUCCUGACCAGGUCAGUCUAUAUGGGUAGCACACCAGAUAUGCCCACAUCUGGUACAGUGAGAGAAUUUGUCUGGCAUGUAUGGAGGAUUCUACUUUUUCUCACACAUGUAAAUGGAGAUCUACAUUUCAUGUUGAACAACCUGCAGCCCUUCUUGUGUGGGCUGUUAGCUUUUUUUUUAAGCACUGCUGUUCUGAGUGCAAUAAAUAGAGCAUAUUUUAGAUUAAUUCUCCAGAGAAACAAUUUUCAGUAUAACCUGGUUUUCAACACUCAAAAGCCUUUGGAUAUAGCCUAAAGCUGUUGUAAACACUGGGAGGUAAGAGCCUUUGAAAUAGCUGUGUGGAGUAAGCAGUGUUUUAAAAACAAAACAAAAAACUUCCCCAGAUAUGAGCUGUGUUGCAAAUUUCUGCAAAUUUCUGAGUGACCCUGCAAAUGGACUUUUUAAAGAGGAAAUGCUGCUACACGAUCAAGGUCCCCGAAGGUGCUAAAAAAGAGCAGCAAAUGUAUAAAGCCAGUAAAGCUUGAGGUAUUAAGAUAAAAAACAUCCAUCAUUGAAGCAGUCAGGGCUCCCCUUUUAACAGUAUAUCUUGAUGUUACAGUGUUCAAUUAUGUACCUAGUUUGUAUAAUCAUUAAGGAAGAACUAGCCUCACAGUGUAAAUCCUUUAGUUUAUUGGUAUUUUAGUAACAUACAGUACACAUUUUACUGCUCAAAUGGUUAAUUUGUUCGUGAUGAUGGUUGUUUAUGUUGUUCUGAGCCUGUGGGUGUUCACUCUGACUGAAUGCAUACAUGUGUAGAUGUAUGUUGUAGAACAUGAUGAAACCUUGAAGUACUCAGUUCUUGGCAUCAUAGUAGCCUGUUUAAGUAUUUGCUCAAGAUCUACAUUCAUGAGUAGCCAGCUUUGAGGCUUCUCCUGCAUAUCUCAUGACAGUUUUGGGAUACUUAUAUUUUGAGAGAGUUUGGACUGGAGUAACUCUGCAGAUAACUUCCAGUUAAGGUAUACCAGCUUCUCAGGGAUUGUCUAGUUUCACUGAGCAGUGAGGCUGAGCUGGAAGCAUGCUGCAUCCCUGAGCAGACCAGUGAAAAGCUGUUGCUGUGGGCAGCCCCUCUUGCUCACUCCCUUAGAGCUAAUGUAUAGGCUCUGCAGCAUCCUUAAUUGUCCCCAGGUGGUGUGUGGUCCUGUUCAGAAAUCACACCUUGGUCAAUUGUAUCCUCAACUGUAGUCAAGUGCUCUGGCCUGCAGCUGUUGUGAUGAAGACCAGAGAACAGGUCCAGACAUUUUAUCUGCACAAGGUUUAGCUUGCACCCUGAUACUGCUCGUCUGGUUUAUGGGAUCACUAAGUACUGGAAUAUUAAGUUUCUUGUGGAGCUUGGGAUGCCAAAUCUUGAUCAGGACCACAGUGAUUUUUUUGCUGCAACUAUUAAGCAUCAGUGAGGUUGAUAAGUGAUAAUCCUGAUACCUAAGACAAGUGUUCUAGUGCACAUGCUUUUCUGGAUAUCAUUUUGGGAACACCUCCACUAAUACUCAGUUUACACCACUGAGCUGAAAUAGAGGGUUUUUAACACCAGAUUUGUCAUUCAUUUUCUAUGCGACCGUACACAUGAGGUAUCUCAGGUGGACAUGUAGACUUUAGGCCCUCUUUUGAAAUGUCCUCUUUGAAGGGCAAUAGGUGGAGGAUUCAGAAAUUCUUACACAAAUGCAUAGUGUAUUUAUAUGUGCAUUGUUAUUUACAUAGCAUAAUCCAUAUUUAACUUACCGAAAAGUACAUGAUAUUAAAAUAUGGUAAAUUCAACCUUGCUUGACCUGUCCAGCCUAAAUACUUUUUUGUAGAGGAAAAAUGGAAAGAACAAAAGGAUUCUUACUGACUUAUAAAAGUUUCAAAAUGUAAUGUCAUCAGUGUUAGAUAAACUUUUGUAUCUGCAUAGAAGAGAUAGACAAGCUCACUAAUGAAAUUUCAGGUAUUAAAAGCAAGACAAAUCUUAAAAGCUGCUUUUUUCUUUUUUUGUUGUUGUUUGUUUUGGGUUUGUUUUGGUUUUUUGUUUGCUUUUCUUGUUUUUGUGCGGGGGUUUCUUGUUCGGUUUGGUUUUGGUUUGGUGGGGUUUUUUUUGGUUUUUUUGGUGCUACAGCCUAAAUUGACUGUGAUUCCAGUAAAGGUAUUCAACUAAACUCUCUACUGUUUUAUGUAUAAUUGAAAACAGGAUCCUUAAGACUGUAUCAUAAAGGUUGGAAACAAAAAUAUUAAAGGUAUUGAUAAAAAAAAAAAAAAAACCACAACAAACAAAACACUUUGAAAUUGCUUUGCUGCACAAUAGUCAAUUUACCAGACUCUCAGCACAGCCAGUAGCUCUAGUGUCUGUGUUUGGGGAUGUCUGGUCCCUUGCUUUGGAUUAUCUUGUAAACGUAUGUUUUGUGAAUUAAUAGUAACACAUGGCUUUUAAUGAUAAAAGGACAUUUAGUUUGACUUAAUUAUCUAGUUACUGCCUUUUGCAAUAACACACUGCUUCCUGUAGCUAAACACUCAAUUGAAACGAAGAUAACUUAUACAAAUACGUAAAUGUUUAUCACUUAAAAUUCCCUUGAUAAAAGAUGCUUAAGCUGUAAACCUUGGUGUUUGAGAAGGUAUUUUAAAAUUUGGAUGGUUUCUGAAGAGAUAAUCAGAUUCUAAGCCAAGUUUCUUCCCUCGAAUACCUGCAUUGUCUUCAGUAAUAAAUUUGCAUGCAAACUGGAGGAAGGCAUUUGGCCUAUUCUUAGAGCAAGUCAAAAUUAUGCUCUGCUUCUUGAUGAUCAGCUGUACAUCUUCCCUUUAUAUCUUGUGUAUCAACAAGUGCAGGGCACUGAAGAAACUCUUUGCCUUGGAGAAACUUACAGCCUAUAUGUAAAGAAUAACUAAAUGUUAUUCUAUGAGUUUAUUAGGGUUAGGAACUCGCUAUUCCUUACCAGUAGGUUGUAGUGUGUGGGUAGAUAGCAGGUGUGUGCAUUGGCUCCUGCCAUGCUGCUGGAAAAGGAACUAUAUCAUUGGUUUUGCCCUUCUUACUGCAAGUUUCCCACAUAUGAUCUGCUUGUAUGAACCUGCAUGUCUCUGCUUCCUAACUCAGUUCUUAAAAUAUUAUCUCUCAUAGCUUAAACACUUCAUGUAGCUGAGCUUUUUGUAAAGUUAAUUUAUCAAGCAGUUGGGCUGGGGAGAGAAUACACAUGUAGUUAUGUUGGCAGACUGGAGAAUGAAUAAAAAUUUCAGUCAAAGAAAAGAGCUGUAUUAGGUGACUGGGACUAGAAGCCUCUUUACUUGCCCAGUGUCACCAAAGCACCAUUUCUAACCACCAGUCAGUCAUUGGUGUCGAUUGGGUGGAUAAAGCUUGAUUUUGUUAUCACACUUGAGACCAGGGCUGGAUCUGGGUCAGGCUGAGAGUCAGAGGACUGUAGUGCAUAUGGAUAUGCAAGAGCUGGCAACAGAUGGUAUCAUAGUGGGAAGAAAGAGACAGCUCAUCAGCUGGCAAUGUUUCUGCUGCAUUUUGUCAAUUAUUUCUUUUUCUUCAGGGAAGAAUUCAGUGUUUGGUUAAGUUUUGUUGUUAGUUUUUAUAGUUAUUGAUCCUAAGAAAUCGUCCGCUCUGAACUUAGUAUUCCUUUAUUUUAAGGCCAUUUGAUAUCCUAAGUAAUAUGAUUAGUGCUCACAUUUAAGACUGUAUUUUCUUAGUUAAAAAAAAAGCGCCCAAGUUACAUGUAAAUAUUGUGGCAAAGGGUUCCCCAAAACCCUGAGCAGAAUAUUAAUCUUUGUGGCAGAUGGUUCUACAGUAAUUGCUGAUUCAUAGUCUUUUGAAAAAGGAAGUAAGCUACUAAUGAGUUUAUGGACUAAGCAUUUUGACUAAAUUAACUUCUUUAUAUCAGCAUAUUGCAUUUGCAGUAAGCUUAGAGUUAGAAAAUACUGCUUAUAUUUUACAAGUAGGAUUGACUUAAUUUAGUGAUUGCAUGGAAGAAAAGGACUCAUACAUUAGUUUUUCAUUCAGUAAUAUAUCUUAGGUUUUCUUAAACAAGAAGAUAGUUUUAUUAAUCAUUCCUGUUUUUCUUAAGCAAAACCCUAAAAUGUUUAAAACCAAGCAUUAGCUUAUUUUGUAGGGCAUUUACAGUGGGGUUUUCAGAAGAGGUGGGUUUCUCAUCGACUAAUUUUUUUUUUUUAAAUUUUUGCUAUAGAUUUAAAUUAUUAUUAACUUGUGGACGAAUAAUAGUGCUUCUUAAGCUUUAAAAUUUUAAUUUGUUUUUACAUCUAUUUAAUGAAAAAAAUAUGAGUAGCUGCCUGUGAGAAGGAUGACUGCUUUCUUGAAGGGAUAAUUUAACUAAUUAUAUAUAAACAUUUAUUCCAUGCUUAUCACCAUAGUAACUGAGGCCUCAAGUCAGUGUGCUUUGCUGAGCAGGGUUGCAAAUGCUGUAGUGAGCCAAGGCCUGAACUUCUGUAUGAAAAUACAGUUUCACAUUUUGUUGAGGCACAGCUAAUCCCUGCUACACCUUUUUGGCCUCAUGUCACUAUUUGUAUUCCCGGGGCUGCAAGCAUGGAAGAAACCUGGGAGUUAAUGUGUCUGAAAAUUAACCUCCCUGAAAAUUAGUGUGCACCAAAUCAUCCUUCUGAUCUGCUCAAGCAUGUGACUGUAUGACCACUAGUGAGCCACUGGGGAGAGUCAGGAACAUGUGAUUGUGAUAAGUGUGGGGAGAGACAGCUAAAAAUUAAUCUGAUUACAAAGCUGCUCUGGAAGCCACUUGUUUAGGGCCUGACUAUGCUGUAGCUGAAAUUGUUGAAAAAUUGUUGGGUUGGGAAUUUAGCCAGUUUAAGUGAGGAAAUUAUCUGACCAAUAUUAAUUUUGAAGUGCUUAUUGUGACUUUAGAAGUAUAUCCCUGAGCCAAGUAUCUACUUGGUCCUGUUCUGAGAAUGGAAGAUGCUAUCAGGAUUGACUUUUGGUGUCUCUUCCCAUAUGCUGACCUCUGACAACUGGCCACAGAAUUUUAUCCGAAUGUUCACUUCAGGGAUUGUUACAAUUAAGUUACUGCAUCUCUUUAUUUUCAUCUUCUUUUUAUCUGUACCUAGACAAUUGCUGUCAGAGAAACCUCAUCUUUUUACUUCAGCUUUCAUUUUGACAGCAGCAAGGGUAGUACUAGCUAUUUCUGCAGGCUGUUUGUAAGUAAAUCUCAGAUGUAUUCAUGUUUCAGAUGCUCCUUCUGCCUUAUAAAACAUGGCAAUAGUAUGUGUUUUAUAACUAUAAAGCUUUAGAAACUCAGACUUCAAAACUCUGAAAGACUUUAAAACAUUUAUCCUAAAAAACUUGAUGAAGGCUUUUACUUUUUAUCUGCUACAUUAACCAGGCCGUCAUUUUGAGCCUUUAAAAUUACAGUGCCAUUUUAUUUUCCAGUGCGCUUUAGAUCAUCACUUCACCAUCCAAGGUCCUGAUUCCACAGAGACUUGCACACUUGUUUAACAACGCAUGUUUCAAACAAUACUACUGAUUUAUUACUCUUCAUUUACUGUUACCUGAUUUGAAGACAAUCAGACAAAUCAGGGACAUCAGCAUUAAUUCUGCAGUAUUUGCAAACAGAGAAAUUAUUUGCAGGUGUAGCACAGCACUGCAGUUAAUCACACUUGCAAACUGCAGUAUGAAGUGUGAUCUUGUAUAGCCAUUUAUAGCCUGAGUUUUCAAGAGCUGUAACUCUGCUUUUGGCUUGGCUACCUUCCAUGGCUGUUGUAGAUUACAUUUGCAAUCAAGUUGUUGCCAAACUUCCACUCAGUGUUAAGGUCAUGUUUACUACUGCGCAGCUGCAUAGUGAAGAGUUGCAGUAAAAGCAAAAUAAACUUAAGACUAUUUGAAGAGCAGCUCUCUAUGGGAUUGGAGAGCAAGUGGAUGUUGGGCAGAAGCUCAAAUUGACUGUGGACGAAAGCAGAAUAUUUUUGGCAGCAUUUAAAUUUUACUGUUUCAUUAUAGCUGAUGUGUCCUUGACUGCAGCUCUAAUAAAAACAACUUGUGCGUGUUCUGAGUACUGUUUAAAAAGAACAUAGAUGUAAGAAAACUGGAGUCUGUAACUCUCCGUAUGUGGUGUUGGAAUGGUGCAAGGUUUUCAUCUAUUAGCCAGAGUGAGUAGCCUUCUAAAAACCCUAAAAAGAACCUAAAACCAUUAAAUUUCUGGCACUGCUCAUGAAAAGAAUGCUGUUGGAACACUUAAGGUCCUGUUACUUUUACAGGGAAUGGCUACAAAGGCUAAAUGUGGUCCUCCCAGAUGAAGGGUUAAAGUAUACUACAAAUGAGCUGCAAUGGAGCUUUAAUUAUGAUUUAACUGUUCUGAAUUAGACACCCACACCCAUAUUCCCUUUUUGUGUUUUAAAAUCUUGUAGAUGGAUGCAUUUUUGCUGGUGUGAAUGCCAGUAACUCUUUGAGCUUAAAAAAAAUGCAAAAUCCAAAAACCACGGCUGGGGAGGGACUAUUACUGCCACUGACAUUCUGACACACAUCUUUUAGCUAGCUUUAAGUAACGAGGUGUAUGCAGUAACGAUCAGCUGCACUUGACAAGCAAAAUUCUCCACAAUACUAAGUUUCCUGUGUGAAAACAGACCACAGAGCAGAGGAGAAGGAUUUUUGUAUUAUCCUUACAUGAGGAAAGAGACAGGUUUAUAUCUUUUGUUAACACCAAAAAUCCAUAGAGGAGCAACACCUUAUUGUCCCACCUGUAUAAAAGCUUCAGCUGGAAUUCUCAACUUUUUAAAGAGUCAGUCAAUCAAAUGUAGAAUACUAGUGUGCAGGAAACCUGUAGAUACAAAAAUGCUGCUAGCGAGGAUUUUCUUGCUAUUUUCUAAGUCCGUGAGAGACUUUUCUCUCUC
Corvus hawaiiensis (hawaiian crow) is the source of this 15400-nucleotide long non-coding RNA. RefSeq lists it as uncharacterized. The transcript is spliced from 3 exons. NCBI's taxonomy places the organism in Eukaryota, Metazoa, Chordata, Aves, Passeriformes, Corvidae. The record is from RefSeq and is a predicted model, not a curated record.